CUGAACCCCACCUUUGCUGCCAACAUGAACUCAGGUCACCUCUUGUGGAAAUCUUUUCCUGAUACUCCUCGUGGCAGCGGAUCCCGCCAUCUCACGGCCCUGCCUUUAGGGCCACUCUUACCAGUCUGCGGAGCGAGGUCUCCCUCUCCGUCAAAUUCCCAGCUCCUGAGGGCAGAGAACGGGAUCUGCUGUCUUUAGAUGCCCCACCCUGGCGCCUGGUCCAAUGCCUCCCAAGCUCGAGGGAGACGACGGACGGAGCAGACGCCCCCCGCCUGCUGCCUGCCCAGCGCGUGGCAGCGGAGCCGCCUUCCGCAGAGGCGGAGGGCCCACCAACGUGCGGGCCUCUGCUCGUCAGGGCCAGCGCCGCCGCGUUUCCUCUCUCCUCCCUGAGGCUGGGCCCUCAACGCACCAACGGCAAUUCACAGCAGCGUGCGCGCCAAUAAUAGAUGAGUCUCUGAUUUGCAACUUCCUGUGUAAUUAUCUGAAAAAUGGAGGCGGAAAUUUUGAAAUUUAAUAAUCCCCAUUCCCCUCUUCCCGCCAACACACACAUUUUGAAACACAUGGCAUAACUGCUAUUAACAUAACAGAUCACACACGGGUGAUGAGUAAAGUGUGUUCUUGGUGGGGGAGGUACAUCCUUCGUUCCUCCUGUUUCCAGGCAUGAGUGCAAGUAAAGAAGAGGAAAAAAGGAGAAAAUGAUCUAAUAUUCCAAAAUUAAGAAGAAAAAGAGGAGGAUCCAGCCAAGGAGACUGAGAAGGAGCAACCAGCAAGAUAGGAAGAAAACUAAGAAACAGUUGCAUUCUGGAAACCAAGUGAAGAAAGUUUCUUAAGGGAAAGGGAGUGAUCAAAUGCGUCAAAUGAUACCAAGAGGGCAAGUCAGAUGAACACUGAGAACUGUCCACCAUAUUUAGGACCAUGGAGGUCAAUCGGUGACCUCAAGAAGAACAAUUUUUAGACUCAUGAGGGAGAAAGUCUGGUUAGAUUUCAUUAAAAGAGAAAGGAAGAAGAAGUGAAAUCAAGGAGCAAAGACAACUCUUUUGCUCCAAAGAGGAACAAAGAAAUGGGGUAGUAGGUGGAAUGGAAAAUGGGUGAAGAGAAAUAUUUUUUAAGAUAAAAGAAGAAAUAAUAUGGGGGUAGGGCACAAAGGGGGAAGUGGUGUACCCACAGCAUGACUAACAAUAAUGUACAACUGAAAUCUCACAAGGUUGUAAUCUAUCAUAACAGUAAUAAAAAAAAAAAAAGAAAGAAAAAAAAGAAGAAAUAAUAUAUUUAUAUAUUCCUGAGAAUUAUUCCAUAGAGAGGGAAAAUUUGAUGAUGAGGAUGGGAGAAGGGAAUAUUGCUAGAGCAAUGUCCUUGAGUAGGCUACAGAGUAUAAGAUCUAAAGGUGAGGAAUACAAGACUGGUAAUGGAUCUAAGCUUUUACAUGGGCAGUAGAGUGGAAGGGUUUGGGGAGGUAAGGAGUGGGAGGAGCAAAGAAUAGAAUGGAAUGUACAGAGGCUGUGUGGAGUUUCCCUCAAUUUUUCAAACACUAUUCAUGUAAGAAUAAACACUUCACUGUAAAUGUGGUGUUUAGCAACUGAUUGCCUGAAGUAUAGAUUAUCCAAGAUUUUUCAUACCACGGCUUGCUAUAAUCUCCUAAGGAUUGGUGAGGAAAAGAAAUGGAGAUAAAACUCAAAAUCCAUGUCAAUUUGGACAUUGUAAGCAGAUCAUCAGAUUAAAGUUAGGUAAUGAUAAGAGGUUAUUUGUCAAAUACAUUUAAGAAUUUUCUGAGGACUUCACAUACUUAUGUUGCUCACAUUUUCCAUUGCCAUGACAUUUCCAAGUUUCAUGUUUGCGUUAUACGUCUAUGGAUGUGCAACUCAAAAUUAUAGUUUUAAAAAAGAACAAAUACAUUUGGUGGAAAUCUGGGAUCUUUGGCAUAGCUAAUAGAGAAGAGACUUCUAGUUAUUAAUUACAAUAAACAAACGUGUCCAUAAUGACAGAGUUUACAGCAAUGAGGCAUAUUUCUUCUUGCGAUAAUAAUUAAUUGGCUGAAGACUUGCUGGUCCAAUGGAA
Molecule: long non-coding RNA, 2055 nt
Filed under: Equus caballus (horse)
Lineage: Eukaryota; Metazoa; Chordata; Mammalia; Perissodactyla; Equidae
Description: lncRNA (ENSECAG00000058091.1)
Source: RNAcentral